This 80-nucleotide small RNA is filed under the name Flavobacterium xueshanense. RNAcentral's name for it is "Flavo-1 RNA". It matches the Rfam family "Flavo-1 RNA". Lineage: Bacteria; Pseudomonadati; Bacteroidota; Flavobacteriia; Flavobacteriales; Flavobacteriaceae. The record is from RNAcentral.
UUUUAGCCCUGAUGGUAAUGGAAAUCCUUUUCUUUUUUUCUUUAAAAAAGAAAAGAUUGGAGUGAACAGCGGGAAACAGC